GUGGGGAAUAUUGCACAAUGGAGGAAACUCUGAUGCAGCGACGCCGCGUGAGUGAAGAAGUAUUUCGGUAUGUAAAGCUCUAUCAGCAGGGAAGACAGUGACGGUACCUGACUAAGAAGCUCCGGCUAAAUACGUGCCAGCAGCCGCGGUAAUACGUAUGGAGCAAGCGUUAUCCGGAUUUACUGGGUGUAAAGGGAGUGUAGGUGGCAGCACAAGUCAGAAGUGAAUGCCCGGGGCUAAAGCCCGGGACUGCUUUUGAAACUGUGCAGCUAGAGUGCAGGAGAGGUGAGUGGAAUUCCUAGUGUAGCGGUGAAAUGCGUAGAUAUUAGGAGGAACACCAGUGGCGAAGGCGGCUCACUGGACUGUAACUGACACUGAGGCUCGAAAGCGUGGGGAGCAAACAGGAUUAGAAACCCGAGUAGUCC
Molecule: ribosomal RNA, 425 nt
Filed under: uncultured bacterium
Lineage: Bacteria
Description: partial 16S ribosomal RNA
Rfam family: Bacterial small subunit ribosomal RNA
Source: RNAcentral